Molecule: ribosomal RNA, 253 nt
Filed under: uncultured bacterium
Lineage: Bacteria
Description: partial 16S ribosomal RNA
Rfam family: Bacterial small subunit ribosomal RNA
Source: RNAcentral
UACAGAGGUCUCAAGCGUUGUUCGGAUUCAUUGGGCGUAAAGGGUGUGUAGGUGGCGCCGUAAGUCGGGUGUGAAAUCUCGGGGCUUAACUCCGAAACUGCAUUCGAUACUGCGGUGCUUGAGGACUGGAGAGGAGACUGGAAUUCAUGGUGUAGCAGUGAAAUGCGUAGAGAUCAUGAGGAAGACCAGUGGCGAAGGCGGGUCUCUGGGCCGAUACUGACGCUGAGGAGCGAAAGCGUGGGGAGCGAACAGG